Molecule: long non-coding RNA, 2820 nt
Organism: Gadus macrocephalus (Pacific cod)
Lineage: Eukaryota; Metazoa; Chordata; Actinopteri; Gadiformes; Gadidae
Exons: 2
Source: RefSeq, a predicted model, not a curated record
UAGUGCAUCAACAAUCUCCAUACAGGACCUUGUAUCAAGCCGGGAUGUAUCAAACGUCUUUUAAAAAGCGCUUUUUCAGGGGCGGCAGGGAAUAGAACAGUGUCAUAAAUAUUCAACCCACUCUCACGGAAAUACGUGACACUGUCACGUCAUUUAAUCUAUUCAUUCGUGAUCUGGGACACGUAAUUUAAAUUUUCUCGUGCCAAAAGCACAAAUUUCUAACAAUAUGACAGCUUUUGGCCACCUGUUUCUACUUUCACCUAUGAUUCUGGGAAAUUGUGACAAUUCACAGAUAUAUUGAAUGCAGGUGCGCAUACCGCAACGGAAAAAAGGUAUCUGCUUCAUCUCUUCUUUUUCAAAUGAGUUUGAAAUUUGUGCUUUUGGCACGAAAAGAUUGAAAUUACGUGUCCCAGAUCAAGAAUGAAUAGAUUAAAUGACGGGACGUGAUAGUGUCACAUAUUUCCGUGAGACUGGGUUGAAAUAUUUGGCCUGUUAAGCCCUUUGAGACUGUAAUGGGGAUUAAGGUCUAUACAAAUACAUUUGAAUUUGAUUGAACAGUGGCCUGAAGCCUAAAGGCCUAAACACACCGCCGCCGCCGCGCUACGGCGCGCAUUUCACGCGCGUCAAAAGCCGCCACCAACAGGAAGCGGCACGACGGUCGCGCUGCAGUGUAUAAUCAGGAAGUCACCUGUCGAUCAACCGCAACAAAGAGACGAUGGAACAAAGAAUUGCUGCCAGACAGAGGGUGGCUGCCUUUCUUCUGCUGCGCCGUAGGCGUGCAAGGAGAAGACGAAGGGUUUGGGUGCACCCCAUCAAUGAACGGAGACAAGAACAGGGGGUAUACCACAAUCUGGUCCAGGAGCUCCAUGAAGAUCCUGAGAGGCACCGCCAAUAUUUCAAUUUGCCACUAGGAAGCGUGCAAUGGCAGAACCGUAUGGUGUAGCCUAGUCAUGAUGACCUAUAAUUUAGUUAUUAUCCCUCUCUGGUAUAAAUACUCUUGCAUAAUAUAUAUAAAUAUAAUUUUUUUUUAUCCCUCGGGAUAAAUACAGUGAUGUUAUUGCUGUGCUGGACUCGGUAGCCAGUCUAUUUUAUUUGAGUGCUCGAGACACCUAAUGUUAUUUUCCUUAAAUCCAGAGAGACAGUUAAUUCAUGAUCUGAUACCAGAGAGACAGUUAUUACAUGACAAUGCAUUUUUGAACUUUGCCUGUUUUUUCUUUUACUUAUCUAUUUUAUUGCAUGAGAAUGUUUCUAUGUGAAGCACUUUGAGUCUGCUUCAUGUAUGAAAAGUGCUAGAUAAAUGAAGUUGCCUUGCCUUCAAUAAAAAAAUAUAUAUUACAAGUAAUCUGGUUUCUACCUACAUGGUGUGAUUAGCCAUAUUAUGUGACUUGAUUAAAGGUUAAAGUUUUGUGUACUUAGUCCACCAUUGUUGAUUUCUCACCUGAAGAGCCAAUCUCCAGAGCUAUGGAUCGAGCUAUGUCUUUUUUGGAGUUGUCUUUGUAAUGACGGGAACUUUGGUCAUACAAUUCGGCAUAUUUCUCCACCUCAAAGACCAGUCUCUCCUCAUCCAUUCUAGUAAUUGUUUCUCACAAACAAAAGAGGGCGACAUCCAGUGGUGAGGAGUAGAUAUAGAGGUGCCUACGGGACCCGGGAUGUACGAACCAGCUUUUAAAAAGCGCUUUUUCAGGGGCGGCGACGCUUUGGAAUAGAACAUUGGCGUGAAGCCUAGUUGGGCGGCGCGUCGUGGCGCGCUGCCGCGCGGCUAGUCGGCACCAGUGUGGGCUAAUACAUCCGGAAUAAUGGGGGCAGACUUUUUGACGCGCCGCUUCGGCGCCGGUGUGUUUAGGCCCUGAGUCACCAUUGUGAUACGCUCUUUAAGCGAUGCUUAAAGAGAUCGACUUUCGUGUCCAAGCUAACCCAGGCUUUGAACGCAACAUACCUUGCUAACCCACUAAUCGAGGUUCCUAGUAAAGGCCACAGUUUUCAGAAAAGUGUGUUUCCGUUUGUUCUUGUAAUCUUUUGUAUAGGCAGAUGACUCUGGUAGUUUCUCACAAGGAUAAAAAAGUUAUUGAAAGAACAAUUUGCGCAGAACUUCUAAAUGUUAUAAAAAAAAGUUGACAGGUUAUCACUUCACUUGGGUAAAACAUGGGGGAGUCCAUAUUCUUUGGAUCGAAUUGCAAAAGGUCCUAGCUGGAGAUUCUGAAAUACAGCCAAGGAAUCAGUCAGUUAUCUUGGCUGUGUAUUAGAUUGCCACUUAUCUAGUGUAGGUCAGGCUCAAAAGGAAAUCACCAAAAUAAAUCAAAGAAUCAGUUUUUUUUUUCUUGAUCAAAAAACAAUGUUAAUUUUAGCAGGAGCUUUAUUUCAGCCUUAUUAUGAUCAUGCGUGUGGCUCAUGAUACAAUGGUGUCACGAUGAAUUUGAAACAUAGGCUUCAGACCUUGCAAAAUAAGUUAGUUAGGCUUAUUUUUGACCUCCCCAUGAGAACUCAUCUCAAAUCUUCCCACUUUGAGAGGUCAGGAUGGUUGAAAAUAGAGGAUUGUGUAUCUUAGAUACAGCUGUGUAGGAUACAGAGGAUUGUUUAUGGGGAUGUGCCCAAAUAUUUCAGAAUUUUUUUUAACUGAGUAAGUGAAGUUCAAAGGCAGCUCAAUUGAUUUUUUGAGACUAUUUUGGGCGAAGAUUAUUUUCUUUAUGCUGGAACUACACUUUGGAACAGGUAACCUGAUACACUCCAGUCAUUCAGAAACAUAGGCAGUUUUAAACAGGCUUUGAAACAUUGGCUUAGAAGGCAUGUCUUAAUUAUGAUCGUUGUUGUGUGUGUAAUUUC